Molecule: ribosomal RNA, 334 nt
Filed under: Glomus sp.
Lineage: Eukaryota; Fungi; Glomeromycota; Glomeromycetes; Glomerales; Glomeraceae
Description: SSU rRNA
Rfam family: Eukaryotic small subunit ribosomal RNA
Source: RNAcentral
UUGGAGGGCAAGUCUGGUGCCAGCAGCCGCGGUAAUUCCAGCUCCAAUAGCGUAUAUUAAAGUUGUUGCAGUUAAAAAGCUCGUAGUUGAAUUUCGGGAUCAAUGGGUUGGUCAUGCCCUCGGUAUGUACUGAUUUCAUUGGUUCUCACCUUCUAAGGAACCAUGAUGUCAUUCAUUUGAUGUUGUGGGGAAUUAGGACUGUUACCUUGAAAAAAUUAGAGUGUUUAAAGCAGGCUAACGCUUGAAUACAUUAGCAUGGAAUAAUGAAAUAGGACAUCCGAUUCUAUUUUGUUGGUUUCUAGGAUCGAUGUAAUGAUUAAUAGGGAUAGUUGGG